RNAcentral lists this long non-coding RNA (1183 nucleotides) under Coturnix japonica (Japanese quail). Its description in RNAcentral is "lncRNA (ENSCJPG00005002424.1)". The record is from RNAcentral. Lineage: Eukaryota; Metazoa; Chordata; Aves; Galliformes; Phasianidae.
AUGAGCCCUAAAUGUGCCCUAAAUAUGCCCCAAAUGUGCCCCAAAUGUGCCUCAAAUGUGCCUCAAGUGUGCCCUAAAUGUGCCCUAAAUGUGCUCCAAACCCACCCAGAUCCUGCCCAAAAUGUGCCCCAAAUGAGCCCUAAAUGUGUCCUAAAACUGCCUGCAUCCUGCCCCAAAUGUGCCCUAAAACUGCCCCAAACCUGCCCUAAAUGUGCCCCAAAUGUGCCCUAAAUGAGCCCUAAAUGUGCCCUAAACCUGCCUGGAUCCUGCCCCAAAUGUGCCCCGAAUGUGCCCUAAAUGCGCCCCAAAUGUGCCCUAAAUGUGCCCUAAAUGCGCCCCAAAUGUGCCCUAAAUGAGCCCGAAAUGUGCCCCAAAUGUGCCCUAAAUGAGCCCUAAAUGUGUCCCAAAUGUGCCCCAAAUGAGCCCCAAAUGUGCCCUAAAUGUGCCCCAAACGUGCCCUAAAUGUGCCCCAAAUGUGCCCCAAAUGUGCCCUAAAUGAGCCCCAAAUGUGCCCUAAAUGAGCCCUAAAUGUGCCCCAAAUGUGCCCUAAAUGNCUAAAUGUGCCCCAAAUGUGCCCUAAAUGAGCCCUAAAUGUGCCCUAAAUGUGCCCUAAAUGUGCCCCAAAUGUGCCCUAAAUGUGCCCUAAAUGUGCCUCAAAUGUGCCCUAAAACUGCCCUAAAUGAGCCCUAAAUGAGCCCUAAAUGAGCCCUAAAUGUGCCCUAAAUGUGCCCCAAAUGAGCCCUAAAUGUGUCCCAAAUGUGCCCUAAAACUGCCCCAAAUGUGCCCUAAAUGUGCCCCAAAUGUGCCCUAAAUGUGCCCUAAAUGUGCCCUAAAACUGCCCUAAAUGAGCCCAAAUGUGCCCUAAAUGUGCCCUAAAUGUGCCUUAAAUGUGCCCCAAAUGUGCCCUAAAUGUGCCCUAAAUGUGCCCAAAUGUGCCCUAAAUGUGCCCCAAAUGUGCCCUAAAUGUGCCUCAAAUGUGCCCUAAAUGUGCCUCAAAUGUGCCCUAAAUGUGCCUCAAAUGUGCCCUAAAUGUGCCUCAAAUGUGCCCUAAAUGUGCCCCAAAUAUGCCCUAAAUGUGCCCUAAAACUGCCCCAAAUGUGCCCUAAAUGUGCCUCAAAUGUGCCCCAAAUGUGCCCUAAAUAUGCCCCAAAUGUGCCCUAAAUGUGCCCCAAAUCCACCCAGA